AACGCACCUUGCACUCUUUGGUAUUCCGAAGAGUAUGUCUGUUUGAGUGUCAUGAAACUCUCAACCCCCUCGUUUUGUAAUGAAAUGUAGCGUGGGCUUGGUUUAUGGCUGUUUGCCGGCGUAAAUGCCGGCUCAGCUGAAAUAUACGAGCAACCCAGUUUAAAUACCUGACGGCUUGACUCGGCGUAAUAACUAUUUCGCUGAGGACGUCUAACCUUUAAAUCGUUAGUGGUGCUUCUAAUGCAUUAAUCAUCUUAAGCUUUAGACCUCAAAUCAGUCAGGACUACCCGCUGAACUUAA
This 300-nucleotide unclassified non-coding RNA is filed under the name uncultured Sporobolomyces. RNAcentral describes it as "sequence contains ITS2". The stretch from base 1 to 52 matches the Rfam family "5.8S ribosomal RNA", at positions 103 to 154 of the family's 154-position model. The record is from RNAcentral. Lineage: Eukaryota; Fungi; Basidiomycota.